This 253-nucleotide ribosomal RNA is filed under the name uncultured bacterium. RNAcentral's name for it is "partial 16S ribosomal RNA". It matches the Rfam family "Bacterial small subunit ribosomal RNA", at positions 526 to 779 of the family's 1533-position model. The record is from RNAcentral.
CGUAGGUGGCAAGCGUUGUCCGGAAUUAUUGGGCGUAAAGCGCGCGCAGGCGGUCCUUUAAGUCUGAUGUGAAAGCCCACGGCUCAACCGUGGAGGGUCAUUGGAAACUGGAGGACUUGAGUGCAGAAGAGGAAAGUGGAAUUCCAUGUGUAGCGGUGAAAUGCGUAGAGAUGUGGAGGAACACCAGUGGCGAAGGCGACUUUCUGGUCUGUAACUGACGCUGAGGCGCGAAAGCGUGGGAGCAAACAGGAUU